GUGUCCCUGGUGUAACGGUAGCAUGACUGGUUCCAACCCAGUUGGUCAGGGUUCAAAUCCUUGGGGGCAUG
RNAcentral lists this transfer RNA (71 nucleotides) under Planctomycetaceae bacterium. RNAcentral's name for it is "tRNA-Trp". It matches the Rfam family "tRNA". Rfam says of the family: Transfer RNA (tRNA) molecules are approximately 80 nucleotides in length. Their secondary structure includes four short double-helical elements and three loops (D, anti-codon, and T loops). Further hydrogen bonds mediate the characteristic L-shaped molecular structure. tRNAs have two regions of fundamental functional importance: the anti-codon, which is responsible for specific mRNA codon recognition, and the 3' end, to which the tRNAs corresponding amino acid is attached (by aminoacyl-tRNA synthetases). tRNAs cope with the degeneracy of the genetic code in two manners: having more than one tRNA (with a specific anti-codon) for a particular amino acid; and 'wobble' base-pairing, i.e. permitting non-standard base-pairing at the 3rd anti-codon position. RNAcentral also lists the same sequence under 1 other name. Lineage: Bacteria; Pseudomonadati; Planctomycetota; Planctomycetia; Planctomycetales; Planctomycetaceae. The record is from RNAcentral.